This 1562-nucleotide long non-coding RNA is filed under the name Gossypium barbadense (sea-island cotton). RNAcentral describes it as "long non-coding RNA (GBAR_LNC007901)". Lineage: Eukaryota; Viridiplantae; Streptophyta; Magnoliopsida; Malvales; Malvaceae. The record is from RNAcentral.
CAAAACGCUGCUCUGUACUGCGAACCAAAAUGAAAAUGCGCACAAAUUAUAGAGCCAAAUUUAAGAAACAAAGUAAAACAAAUAGGGCACAAUUGAAGGCUCGCGCGAAGGAAAGGAUCUAACGCGCAAAUAUCCAUUCUCCGCAGAAACACGCAGGUCCUAGGGGUAAAGGGUCAGAUCGGGUCGAGUAUAACUAAUACGACACCGUUUUGGGAGCCACUGAAACAGGCUCAAAACGGCACCGUUUUUGGUCCUUUAAAAUGCCUAAAACCAGCCUCCUUCAACCGAAUCAACCUCAGCCCCCUUUCUUCUCAACUAGCAAGCCCUAAAUCUUUUCUUUCAUACACUGAUCCACCACCAUGAAUGGCAACCGGUGGUUUCCGGGCUUCAAAGAGUUGAUUUUUAGCCAUGAGAUCCCCUUUUAGACUUCAAUUUCAACGAAGCAAAAAAGAAUCGCUAGCCCAUUCGUAAGGUAAAUUUCCUUUUCCAUUUUUUUCUUUUAUUUUCUAAAUGUAAUGGUGGAAGAUUUGAGGAAGUAAAUCACCAGGAAAAGAGAACAAAGAAAAAAAAAUCAAAGAAAGACUCAAACAAAUCAAAAACAGAAAUCACCUUUCUAUGGCUUUUGGAAAUGCUCUCUUUUUGUAUUUCAGUGCGUGUAGUAUGCGUAAGUCUUUUGCAGGUACAUUCAAUGGCUUUUUAUAGCCAAUUUACAGAGUAAAUAAAAAUAAAAUUACAUUUUAUUGCUGUCAUUUGCUGUAAAUUCUGUUAUUCCCCUUCUCCCAUGUUCUUUUGCAAGAGCAUCCGUACAGGAGCACGAAGAAGGGCGCGUGUGAAAGAGGCCGUGCUUGGGACCGUUCCUGGGGAGCCCAAUCCUAGCUGGCUACUGGUGACUUCCAGAAGCUUCCGGCCUGGGCUCUAUGAGCCUACUUCGAGAAUAAGCGGCCAUGAGUGCAGACUACUGCUGCGGCACCGAUCAGCAACUAGGGUUAGGGUUAGGGUUAGUCUUAGAUUGGGCCUUUGGGGUUAUUGGGUUAAGGACUUUGGGCAUAAUUAUUGGGCUGCAAUAGAUUUGGUUUAGUUUAAUAAUUGGGCUUAUAUAUAUAUUAGGAUUGUAAAUGGACAUUAAUUUAUUUUGGGGCUGUUUAAUGUUUUUGUUGCUUUUUUUUAUUUUGGGGUUUUUAUAUUUAUUUUGGUUUAUAAUGGGUCGGGCGAAUUGGGCCUAUUACAAUUAGUAUACCUAUUUAUUUUAAGAUAUUAUAUAAAUUACACUUUAUAAAUGAAUAAACAAAUAAAACUCUGAAUAUUAAAUAUUUAAUAAUAUACUGUACAUGUUACAAUGCAUUUUUUAAAAAAAUAAAGAAAAAGAAAUGUGACCAUUAUAGUAUGAUAUAUACUCUAUAGUACAAACAAAUGUACUCAUACUUUAUAGUUUACUAUUUCUAAUGUUUGAGCCGUUUUUAUGGACUGUAGGCGGCCAACACGAUUUGGUCGGAAACAAGUGAAUAUAUUAUGGAUAAAGUAUUGUAGAGGUAACUAAAUUGCAGUUUUUUUUAGUAGGUGGA